This 253-nucleotide ribosomal RNA is filed under the name uncultured bacterium. RNAcentral describes it as "partial 16S ribosomal RNA". It matches the Rfam family "Bacterial small subunit ribosomal RNA", at positions 524 to 776 of the family's 1533-position model. The record is from RNAcentral.
UACGGGGGGGGCAAGCGUUGUUCGGAAUUACUGGGCGUAAAGCGUGCGCAGGCGGUUUUGUAAGCCAGAUGUGAAAGCCCCGGGCUUAACCUGGGAAUGGCAUUUGGGACUGCAAGGCUCGAGUGCGGCAGAGGAGACUGGAAUUCCUGGUGUAGCAGUGAAAUGCGUAGAUAUCAGGAGGAAUACCGAUGGCGAAGGCAGGUCUCUGGGCUGACACUGACGCUCAUGCACGAAAGCGUGGGGAGCAAACAGG